RNAcentral lists this ribosomal RNA (431 nucleotides) under uncultured bacterium. Its description in RNAcentral is "partial 16S ribosomal RNA". It matches the Rfam family "Bacterial small subunit ribosomal RNA", at positions 29 to 507 of the family's 1533-position model. The record is from RNAcentral.
AACGAACGCUGGCGGCAGGCUUAACACAUGCAAGUCGAGCGCCCCGCAAGGGGAGCGGCCGACGGGUGAGUACCGCGUGGGAACGUACCUUUUGGUUCGGAACAACUCCGGGAAACUGGAGCUAAUACCGGAUAAGCCCUAACGGGGAAAGAUUUAUCGCCGAAAGAUCGGCCCGCGUCUGAUUAGCUAGUUGGUGAGGUAACGGCUCACCAAGGCGACGAUCAGUAGCUGGUCUGAGAGGAUGAUCAGCCACACUGGGACUGAGACACAGCCCAGACUCCUACGGGAGGCAGCAGUGGGGAAUAUUGGACAAUGGGCGCAAGCCUGAUCCAGCCAUGCCGCGUGAGUGAUGAAGGCCUUAGGGUUGUAAAGCUCUUCUGUCCGGGAAGAUAAUGACUGUACCGGAAGAAUAAGCCCCGGCUAACUUCGUG